UUGAUCCUGGCUCAGAUUGAACGCUGGCGGCAGGCCUAACACAUGCAAGUCGAACGGUAACAGGAAGCAGCUUGCUGCUUUGCUGACGAGUGGCGGACGGGUGAGUAAUGUCUGGGAAACUGCCUGAUGGAGGGGGAUAACUACUGGAAACGGUAGCUAAUACCGCAUAACGUCGCAAGACCAAAGAGGGGGACCUUCGGGCCUCUUGCCAUCGGAUGUGCCCAGAUGGGAUUAGCUAGUAGGUGGGGUAACGGCUCACCUAGGCGACGAUCCCUAGCUGGUCUGAGAGGAUGACCAGCCACACUGGAACUGAGACACGGUCCAGACUCCUACGGGAGGCAGCAGUGGGGAAUAUUGCACAAUGGGCGCAAGCCUGAUGCAGCCAUGCCGCGUGUAUGAAGAAGGCCUUCGGGUUGUAAAGUACUUUCAGCGGGGAGGAAGGGAGUAAAGUUAAUACCUUUGCUCAUUGACGUUACCCGCAGAAGAAGC
This 489-nucleotide ribosomal RNA is filed under the name Escherichia coli. RNAcentral's name for it is "bacterial SSU rRNA". It matches the Rfam family "Bacterial small subunit ribosomal RNA", at positions 13 to 491 of the family's 1533-position model. Lineage: Bacteria; Pseudomonadati; Pseudomonadota; Gammaproteobacteria; Enterobacterales; Enterobacteriaceae. The record is from RNAcentral.